RNAcentral lists this ribosomal RNA (254 nucleotides) under uncultured bacterium. Its description in RNAcentral is "partial 16S ribosomal RNA". It matches the Rfam family "Bacterial small subunit ribosomal RNA", at positions 524 to 776 of the family's 1533-position model. The record is from RNAcentral.
CACGUAGGGGGCGAGCGUUGUCCGGAUUUAUUGGGCGUAAAGAGCUCGUAGGCGGCUCGGUAAGUCGGGUGUGAAACCUCCAGGCUCAACCUGGAGACGCCACCCGAUACUGCCGUGGCUAGAGUCCGGUAGAGAAGCGUAGAAUUCCUGGUGUAGCGGUGAAAUGCGCAGAUAUCAGGAGGAAUACCAGCGGCGAAGGCGGCGCUCUGGGCCGGUACUGACGCUGAGGAGCGAAAGCGUGGGGAGCAAACAGG